UUCACUCCCGUUGUUUGGCAAGUGGGAGGAAGUGUCACAGCUCUUUUAUUUCUGCCACCCACAGCUUGGUGAGUAGGAGCAUUACAGCUCUUUUGCUCCCACAGUUCAGCAAAUUCUGAGUUCCUGUCCCAUGACCAAGAGGAAUGAGGAACAUGGACACCGGAGAAUGAGUAAGGCAGAGUAGAAUUUUAUUCAUCAGCGAGAGGGGACCUGAAAGCAGGUCGCCAUCUGUGAGGAUUAAAGUUAGGACCAAAUGCUGCUCAGAAAUUGUUUUAAUCUCAAAAGUAGUUGGCAAGUUUUCAGAGUUCAUUUUCAAGGCCUGGUGUAUGUGAAACAACUGAACAUUCAGAGCUAUUUCAUUUUCAAAGAUUCUCACAUAUGAUUAUGUACACUAAGUUCAAGGACUGACGUCCUUAUAAAAAGAGAGGGUACACACACAGCCAACAGAGAGAAGAAGGUCAUACGAAGACACGCAGAAUUUGGACUUAUGCGGUCACAAGUCAAGGAGUGCUUGGAGCUACCGGGAGAUGGAAGAGUCAAGGCAGGAUUUUCCCUGGAAGAUUUGGAAGGAACAUAUUUCUCCUGAAACCUUGAUUCUAGCCUUCACUAAUGACAGAGAAUAAAUUUCUGUUCUUUUAAGCCACUCAGUUUGUGGUACUUUGUCUUACAGAAACCCUGGGACACUAAUAAAUUUCCUAAGUGGUAUACAUAACAUCUUCUAACAUUAUGAUUCUAUGGAAUGCUUUGAUAAUCAGCUAAAAGUUAUCGGCUGUCUCCCAGGAAAGAUGCACAAACAUACAUAUUCAACAUUUUGUGUUCAAUUUUUCAAGUUUCCAGGAUUUCCAGGGCCUCUCUACAGAUCCUCUUCGUAUCUACACAGCUGAUUGUGAACUCUGUUCUUAUACAAUGUAUCCAAAGUAAAUUAACUACAAUACAACUGUGAUUAUGCCAUUCCAAAUUAUAAAUAUUAACAUCCUUUCUGAACUACAAGACCCUCUACAGUAUGACUGCAUUUGUACAUACUGCAGCUCUCCUGCUGAACCAUCCUUUGUUCUUAUCAUACCAAACACAUACGUUUCCAGGACACACUAUGCCUCUGUGCCUUUGCACAUGCUAUGCGCUGCCUGGGACUCCCUAACUUCCAUCUGCACAUAACCUUCUAAUGAAUUUCCAGGCAUUCUGGAAGUUUUAUAUCACUCAUUUUAUCUAUGAAUCAAAUGAUCUCACUGACAAAGUAUUAUGUUGCUUUUACAACAUGAUUCAAGUCCUUGACUGUGACGUAUUCCUGAAAUACAAGGUGCUUUAUUUUGAGUGUAAGAAAAUUUUAAUUAUAAUAUUAUAUUGUAAUAUGUGGUUUAAAUUUCUAUAUGCAUGCAUCAUAUUUCCAAUUUCUUACAGAAAAGAAUUAUUAUAAUUGUAUAAUAUAUAAUGUAUAACACUAAAUAUACUAUAGUAUUAAAACUAUAGGCUUUUAUUUCAAUUGGUGAAGAUUAAAAUCUUAGAAUCAUGAUCUGUGGGCAUUCUGACCUUGACUAAAUGCAUACACUUUAUGUAUCUAAGCUUUCUUCACUGUAAACUGGUAAAAAUGCACUUAAUUCAAAAAAUUGUGAGGAUCAAAGUAAAGUCUAAAACUUUAGUACGGC
Molecule: long non-coding RNA, 1643 nt
Filed under: Homo sapiens (human)
Lineage: Eukaryota; Metazoa; Chordata; Mammalia; Primates; Hominidae
Description: HSALNT0322361
Source: RNAcentral